This 253-nucleotide ribosomal RNA is filed under the name uncultured bacterium. RNAcentral describes it as "partial 16S ribosomal RNA". It matches the Rfam family "Bacterial small subunit ribosomal RNA", at positions 524 to 776 of the family's 1533-position model. The record is from RNAcentral.
UACAGAGGGUGCGAGCGUUGUUCGGAAUCAUUGGGCGUAAAGCGCUUGUAGGCGGCCUGUCAAGUCGCGUGUGAAAUCCCUUGGCUUAACCAAGGAAGUGCGCGCGAAACUGGCGGGCUUGAGUGCCGGAGAGGGUCGCGGAAUUCCCGGUGUAGAGGUGAAAUUCGUAGAUAUCGGGAGGAACACCAGUGGCGAAGGCGGCGACCUGGACGGACACUGACGCUGAGGCACGAAGGUCAGGGGAGCAAACGGG